RNAcentral lists this ribosomal RNA (253 nucleotides) under uncultured bacterium. RNAcentral's name for it is "partial 16S ribosomal RNA". It matches the Rfam family "Bacterial small subunit ribosomal RNA", at positions 524 to 776 of the family's 1533-position model. The record is from RNAcentral.
UACGUAGGGUGCGAGCGUUAAUCGGAAUUACUGGGCGUAAAGUGUGCGCAGGCGGCCGAGCAAGUCGAGUGUGAAAGCCCCGAGCUUAACUUGGGAACUGCGCUCGAAACUACUUGGCUAGAGUGUGGCAGAGGGAGGUGGAAUUCCACGUGUAGCGGUGAAAUGCGUAGAGAUGUGGAGGAACACCGAUGGUGAAGGCAGCCUCCUGGGCCAACACUGACGCUCAUGCACGAAAGCGUGGGGAGCAAACAGG